UGGCCCAGAUGUUUACCGUGAAAAAAUUAGAGUGUUCAAAGCAGGCAGAUCCAAUUUUCUGCCACCGAAUACAUUAGCAUGGGAUAAUGGAAUAGGACCCUGUCCUCCUAUUUUCAGUUGGUUUUGGCAGCGCGAGGACUAGGGUAAUGAUUAAUAGGGAUAGUUGGGGGCAUUAAUAUUUAAUUGUCAGAGGUGAAAUUCUUGGAUUUAUGAAAGAUUAACUUCUGCGAAAGCAUCUGCCAAGGAUGUUUUCAUUAAUCAAGAACGAAAGUUAGGGGAUCGAAGACGAUCAGAUACCGUCGUAGUCUUAACCAUAAACGAUGCCGACCAGCGAUUAGGAGACGUUGAAUACAAAACACCACCAUCGGUGCGGUCUGUCCUUGGCGUCGGUCUUUCGGGGCC
RNAcentral lists this ribosomal RNA (402 nucleotides) under uncultured Acanthamoeba. RNAcentral describes it as "SSU rRNA". It matches the Rfam family "Eukaryotic small subunit ribosomal RNA", at positions 740 to 1088 of the family's 1831-position model. The record is from RNAcentral. Lineage: Eukaryota; Discosea; Longamoebia; Acanthamoebidae.